GGCUACGGCCAUAUCACGAUGAAUGCACCUCAUCCCGUCCGAUUUGAGAAGUUAAGCAUCGUCGAGCCACAUCAAUACUGAGGUUGGAGACAACUUGGGAACCUGUGGUGCUGUAGUCU
Naegleria gruberi is the source of this 119-nucleotide ribosomal RNA. Lineage: Eukaryota; Heterolobosea; Eutetramitea; Acrasida; Naegleriidae. The record is from Rfam.